CAGCUCACGCUUGUGUCAACGAACGGUGGAGCUCUCCUCUUCGUUGACUCUCUCGCGGCCCAGACGAAGCUGCUCCAUCUCGCUGCUUCAACACCACGGUUCCACCGAAAUUUUACGGGCCCAAGAGCUCCGUGAUUCUCAAGCGAGUAGCCCAGUAACAGCUCGUGUCUUCGUCGAGCAAGUUUCAACAGCUGCGUGUCUUCGGUCAACUGAUUUCUUCCUUGUUGACCCUUGCUCAUCCACUCAAGCCGCACGCCACA
This 260-nucleotide long non-coding RNA is filed under the name Eucalyptus grandis. RNAcentral's name for it is "long non-coding RNA (EGRA_LNC001688)". Lineage: Eukaryota; Viridiplantae; Streptophyta; Magnoliopsida; Myrtales; Myrtaceae. The record is from RNAcentral.